This 205-nucleotide ribosomal RNA is filed under the name uncultured bacterium. Its description in RNAcentral is "partial 16S ribosomal RNA". It matches the Rfam family "Bacterial small subunit ribosomal RNA", at positions 568 to 774 of the family's 1533-position model. The record is from RNAcentral.
UGCGUAGGCGGCUUAGCAAGUCAGGGGUGAAAGGCAUUGGCUCAACCAAUGUAAGCCUUUGAAACUGUUAGGCUUGAGUGCAGGAGAGGAAAGUGGAAUUCCUAGUGUAGCGGUGAAAUGCGUAGAUAUUAGGAGGAACACCAGUGGCGAAGGCGACUUUCUGGACUGUAACUGACGCUGAGGCACGAAAGCGUGGGAGCGAACA